Molecule: ribosomal RNA, 497 nt
Filed under: uncultured bacterium
Lineage: Bacteria
Description: partial 16S ribosomal RNA
Rfam family: Bacterial small subunit ribosomal RNA
Source: RNAcentral
GAUGAACGCUGGCGGCGUGCCUAAUACAUGCAAGUCGAGCGAACAGAUGAGGAGCUUGCUCCUCUGACGUUAGCGGCGGACGGGUGAGUAACACGUGGAUAACCUACCUAUAAGACUGGGAUAACUUCGGGAAACCGGAGCUAAUACCGGAUAAUAUAUUGAACCGCAUGGUUCAAUAGUGAAAGACGGUUUUGCUGUCACUUAUAGAUGGAUCCGCGCCGCAUUAGCUAGUUGGUAAGGUAACGGCUUACCAAGGCAACGAUGCGUAGCCGACCUGAGAGGGUGGUCGGCCACACUGGAACGGAGACACGGUCCAGACUCCUACGGGAGGCAGCAGUAGGGAAUCUUCCGCAAUGGGCGAAAGCCUGACGGAGCAACGCCGCGUGAGUGAUGAAGGUCUUCGGAUCGUAAAACUCUGUUAUUAGGGAAGAACAAAUGUGUAAGUAACUAUGCACGUCUUGACGGUACCUAAUCAGAAAGCCACGGCUAACUACGUG